RNAcentral lists this ribosomal RNA (253 nucleotides) under uncultured bacterium. RNAcentral describes it as "partial 16S ribosomal RNA". It matches the Rfam family "Bacterial small subunit ribosomal RNA", at positions 524 to 776 of the family's 1533-position model. The record is from RNAcentral.
UACGAAGGGGGCUAGCGUUGUUCGGAAUCACUGGGCGUAAAGCGCACGCAGGCGGAUUGAUAAGUCAGGGGUGAAAUCCCGGAGCUCAACUUCGGAAUUGCCUUUGAUACCGUCUGUCUUGAGUCCGGGAGAGGUGAGUGGAAUUCCUAGUGUAGAGGUGAAAUUCGUAGAUAUUAGGAAGAACACCAGUGGCGAAGGCGGCUCACUGGCCCGGUACUGACGCUCAUGUGCGAAAGCGUGGGGAGCAAACAGG